UGGUUCUCGCAUCGAUGAAGAGCGCAGCGAAAUGCGAUAAGUAAUGUGAAUUGCAGAAUUCAGUGAAUCAUCGAAUCUUUGAACGCACCUUGCGCUCCUUGGUAUUCCGAGGAGCAUGCCUGUUUGAGUGUCAUGUUAACUCUCAACCCUUGUGGUUGGAUUAUGGACGUUGCGGGAGCUUUCCGCUCGUCUCAAAUGCAUUUAAUGCCAUACUUUGCGGUGUUCGGGCUGCAGGGCGAGGCUGCGGGCUAAGUCAUACUUGCCACGGCGCCGGCUCAUGCGCGGUUCACUCGCAAACAGGGUCAUGUCAAUAUGACCCACUUGACUUCUGGCCUCAAAUCAGGUAGGAUUACCCGCUGA
Molecule: unclassified non-coding RNA, 360 nt
Filed under: uncultured fungus
Lineage: Eukaryota; Fungi
Description: partial contains 5.8S ribosomal RNA and internal transcribed spacer 2
Rfam family: 5.8S ribosomal RNA (bases 1-133)
Source: RNAcentral